This 403-nucleotide ribosomal RNA is filed under the name Fusobacteriota bacterium. Its description in RNAcentral is "Fusobacteria bacterium partial 16S ribosomal RNA". It matches the Rfam family "Bacterial small subunit ribosomal RNA", at positions 355 to 776 of the family's 1533-position model. Lineage: Bacteria; Fusobacteriati; Fusobacteriota. The record is from RNAcentral.
UGGGGAAUAUUGCACAAUGGAGGGAACUCUGAUGCAGCGACGCCGCGUGAACGAAGAAGGCUUUCGAGUCGUAAAGUUCUUUUAUAUGGGAAGAUAAUGACGGUACCAUAAGAAAAAGCCCCGGCUAACUACGUGCCAGCAGCCGCGGUAAUACGUAGGGGGCUAGCGUUGUCCGGAAUCACUGGGCGUAAAGGGUUCGCAGGCGGAAAUGCAAGUCAGGUGUAGAAGGCAGUAGCUUAACUACUGUAAGCAUUUGAAACUGCAUAUCUUGAGAAGAGUAGAGGUAAGUGGAAUUUUUAGUGUAGCGGUGAAAUGCGUAGAUAUUAAAAAGAAUACCGGUGGCGAAGGCGACUUACUGGGCUCAUUCUGACGCUGAGGAACGAAAGCGUGGGUAGCAAACAGG